Molecule: microRNA precursor, 170 nt
Filed under: Setaria italica (foxtail millet)
Lineage: Eukaryota; Viridiplantae; Streptophyta; Magnoliopsida; Poales; Poaceae
Also listed under: 1 other name
Description: MIR2118 microRNA precursor family
Rfam family: MIR2118 microRNA precursor family
Source: Rfam by way of RNAcentral
GUGAGCCAGGGAAAGGAAGAAAAGUAUCUAAGAGCGCUAGGGAUAGGAACAUGAAGGAAAGCAUAAUCUCUAUUCCAUCUCUGGCAUUGCAGAUGGAGAUUUGAUUGAAUGUUUUCCUGAUGCCUCCUAUUUCUAAGGCUCUUAGGUUCUCCUUCCCUUCCCUAAUGGCU